Molecule: long non-coding RNA, 1185 nt
Organism: Humulus lupulus (European hop)
Lineage: Eukaryota; Viridiplantae; Streptophyta; Magnoliopsida; Rosales; Cannabaceae
Exons: 3
Source: RefSeq, a predicted model, not a curated record
UGCACCAAAUUUUUUUUUUUAGAUUAUUUAAAUUUUGUGCUUUAUUUGAUUUAAAUGUUAAGUGUGAUGAAUUGUUUUAUUUAAGUGUUGUUAUUUUAUUUAAUUGUUUAUUUGUUUUAUUUGAUUGUUUGUUAUUUUAUUUAAUUGUUAGAAAUGUUUUGGUUAAUUAAUUUAAUAAGUGAUUAAUUGUGUAACAUGUUAUCUUACUAUUAGUGUUACAUUUUAUUUAAGUGUGACAAAUGAGGUAUUUAUGUGAGCUAUGGUGGAAUGCACUAAGGUGCAUGAUAGAUAGUAAUGCACCCUAGUAAUUUAGUGUGUGCUAGUGCAUGGUAGCAUGGUGCACAUGUGUAGAUUUUCUACACAUUUUAGGUUUCCUUAUUUUAGAUUUAAUUGAGUAAUUUAUUUAUAAAAAAAAAGAAGAAAAGAAAAGGGAAAUGAGGAGUGGGCGUGUGACCUAGUGGGAAUGGAAUAUUUCCUUAAAAUGGUAAAAAAAUCAAGACUUGAAGACCAUGAUCAUUUGGGGAUAGGCAUGAUCAUAUCUUAUCCCUUUGUAUCUUUUUGAAAUAAAGAAAAAUCAAGGAAAAUAAAAGAGAAAUGGAAACUUACCUUAAUAUUGUUUGGGGAGACUUUAUGAGAGGAUUUGUGAUAAAGGGGCUAAGAAAGGAGAGAAGAGCCAUUGCUCUUGUGUGUGUGUGUGGCUGCCGUGACCUAGAGAGAGAGAGAGAGAGAGAGUGGCGUGUAGAGAGAGAGAGAGAGAGAGAGGAAGAAAGAAAGAAAGGAAGAAGGAAGAAGAAAGUGAAGAGGAACCCCCCUAGAGCUUGAACAAGGGUGUGGAGUUUGUGGUAUUGAUCUUUUGUGUUCUUGAUUCUACAAUCAAGAGAGGUAGCAAAUAGGAUUUCUCUAUGGCACGCGUGGUGACGUGAGGAGUUCUUCAUCAUGGGGUGUAUGGCGUGGGGCAAUCCUAUGGACGAUAAAACGAUCAACGUAGAACGCCAUUUAAAUUAUGUUUUGUUUUAAGGGACUUUUCCUAAAUUAUCAGUGGGACUCUGUUAUUUAACUUAAUUGGUUUUCUUUGAACUUUGCAUAAAAACCUAUGUUUUAUUUUAAACUUAUGGCGCCAACUUGCAUGAUUUUAAAUAAGUCCCCCUGAGACUUUAAUAAUGGAUGGUAUUCUUUUAUAAGCUA